GGAAGAUGCCAGGAUGGUGUAACGCGCUGCGUCACUGGCCUUUACUUUCACUUUAUGGAUGCCUUUUGUCCCCAGCUAAGUCAGCGCCAGGGUACUUUUACUCUGGGUAAAAUUGCCCUAAGCGGAGCUCAGUAUUAUUUCUGAGUGUAAUCAGAGAAGACGAGAGUUUUUAAACAGCUUUCUUUCGCUGUCUUCCUUUUUUGUGUGUGUGGAAUAUCUGGAUCAUGAGGUCAUAGUGAGGUGUCACCACAGAGGAUCAUGUGGCUCCAUCUCACCUCAUCCCAACCAUCUUUUUUUUGUCACACCACCCCUCUGCAUGUCCUCCUUCACUGAAUCCACGAACCUCCUCUGUGGUUUUCCUCUUUUCCUCUUGCCUGGCAGCUCCAUAUUCAACAUCCGUUCUCCAGUAUAUCCACAAUCCUUCCUCUGCACAUGACAAAACCAUGUCAGUUUUCCAAAGAAAAUUAUCCCCUAUUAUCCCCUGUUCCACUAUUGGGAUCACUGUGAGGAGUCAGAAGUAUGAAUUUUAUAGGUGCAUCAUAAAUGAAGACAUUAAAAGACUUAAUCGGCUUAAAAGAAAAUCGGCUCAAACCACAGAAUUUCUGUGACAAUAUUCCGUUUACAGAUGAGACAAAAGUUUGUUUUUAUUUGUUUGGAAAAAAAUGCACAGCCCUUUGUUUGCAUGGAAAAAAACACCUACCCCAAAACCUCAUCACCACUGUGACGCAUAGCGGAGGUAGCAUUGUGAUUUGAACUGCUUUGCUACCUCAGGAAGAUCUGCAAGAAGUAAUAGCCAUUUUUUAAAUGCUUAUUAUGGGGCUAACACAAAGACACAGAUAACUACUCACACCUACAGCAAAGUUCGAAUCACUAACAAGCAUGUUUUUGGAAGCAAGCUGGAGUACCCAGGGGAACACAUGCAUUCACAGGGACAGAAAGCUCCACACAGAAAGGCCCCAGCUGACUCCAGGAAAGGCUUGCUGUGAGGCAGCACUGCUAACUGCUGUGUCAGGCUAUUUUACAGUGGAAUAGAAUGCACAAAAUUGAGUGUGAGUCUUUCUUACCAUUAAGGAACUCUCC
Molecule: long non-coding RNA, 1080 nt
Organism: Astatotilapia calliptera (eastern happy)
Lineage: Eukaryota; Metazoa; Chordata; Actinopteri; Cichliformes; Cichlidae
Source: Ensembl